CGCACCUUGCGCUCCCUGGAAUUCCUAGGAGCAUGCCUGUUUGAGUGUCAUGAAUUCCUCAAACCCCAAUGUUUUGCAAAAUCCAUUGCUUGGGUUUGGUUUUGGGCCCUUAUUGCCGCUUCACAGCAGCUGGCCUUAAAGAUAUUAGCUGGACCUUCGAUCUUUGUAUCGAGCCUCCAUUUGAUGUGAUAAUUUUGCAUCGGUGGGCCAAGGGCUCUUUGCUAAUCGCAGGAGGUCUGCUUCUAACCCGGCGAGAAGUUCCAUCUUCGACCCACUAUUCAUUUACAACUCUGGCCUCAAAUCAGGUAGGAUUACCCGCUGAACUUAA
This 328-nucleotide unclassified non-coding RNA is filed under the name Microstromatales sp. Its description in RNAcentral is "partial contains 5.8S ribosomal RNA, internal transcribed spacer 2, and large subunit ribosomal RNA". The record is from RNAcentral. Lineage: Eukaryota; Fungi; Basidiomycota; Exobasidiomycetes; Microstromatales.